GCAUAGAUAGAAUUAUAAAGCAAUCAAAUUCAAUUAAACUUUAAAAAAUAUUAUCAUUUUAAUUUGUGUGUUAUUCUUUCUACAACAAUUUUUGUCACAAAAAAAACUAUUAUUUAUCAUGACUUUAACUAUCUCUCGUAAGAUCAAUUUAACAAUUACGAAAGCCAAAUGGACAAACAUGGUAAACCAAUAUUUUUCAUAAUAAUUUUACACAAGAAUUAAAAACUAUUUAAUUGAAGGGACAUAGCAAGAAGUUUUUUACUAUAUAAAUUGAUCCAAAUAGUUUCAAUUUAUUACAUGUGAAAAUGGCUGAAAUUUUCAAGUUUGUUUAUACUAGUAUCCUUUUUGUUUCCCUAUUGCUUGUUGUCGUCAAUGUUUAUGGAAAGCGUAAUCCUCCUAAUUUUCAACGUAUACCAUGCCCUGAUCAGAAAACUCUUUACUGCACUCUAAAAAAAUGUUACUGCAUUUAACAGUUAAGAUUAUGUUCAAAAUGGUUGUGGCAAGGCAACUUCGCUUGGGAAAGAGUAGUUUAGGGCUUAAUUAUGCCUAGCUAUAUUUCAUUUUCCAGUGUUUUUAGUAUUGUUAGUUUAGUUUAGUUUAGUUUUGUUGUAUUCCUAAGAAAUUAUUGUU
Trifolium pratense (red clover) is the source of this 630-nucleotide long non-coding RNA. RefSeq lists it as uncharacterized. Lineage: Eukaryota; Viridiplantae; Streptophyta; Magnoliopsida; Fabales; Fabaceae. The transcript has 3 exons. The record is from RefSeq and is a predicted model, not a curated record.